This 212-nucleotide ribosomal RNA is filed under the name uncultured bacterium. Its description in RNAcentral is "partial 16S ribosomal RNA". It matches the Rfam family "Bacterial small subunit ribosomal RNA", at positions 1290 to 1500 of the family's 1533-position model. The record is from RNAcentral.
AGUUCGGACUGUGGUCUGCAACCCGACCACACGAAGCUGGAAUCGCUAGUAAUCGCGGAUCAGAAUGCCGCGGUGAAUACGUUCCCGGGUCUUGUACACACCGCCCGUCACACCAUGGGAGUCAGCAACGCCCGAAGUCAGUGACCCAACCUUUAAGGAGGGNGCUGCCGAAGGCGGGGCAGGUGACUGGGGUGAAGUCGUAACAAGGUAGC